CUCUUCCCCGGCCUCUGCACCCGGCCGGAACUCGUGUCAUCAGGCCUGGUUUCCCGCCGGCCUGGAAAAGCAGACGGCCCUACAGAGACGUGGAGAACACGGUCGGGAAAAGCCGGGCUCGGGCGGAAGUCACUCUGAGGCGUCGGCAGGGGAGGCCAGUGAACGCCAGUCGGGAGUUGGAGCGACCGGGGCUUGUGAGGGCCCCACGGCCCAGCAGGUGGAAUUGGGCUAUUUACUGAAGCUUCUUUCCCUGGUAGGCCAGGGAAAAAUUUACAUUUUGAUUUUCUUUUAAUCAUGGCUUUGGUUCAUAAAUUGCUGAAUGGCACUUAUAUUCUCAGAAAAUGCCCGAAGCCAAGUGUUGCCUCUUGUCCAUUUUUGAGUACUCGCUUUGCAGAUUAUUGUUCCAGCAGUCUUGAGAAACCAGUGGCUGCUCCUGGCAAAGCCUCUUCUCAGAGGAAGACUGAAGGGAAUUUGGAAGGACAUCACCAGAGAGAAGUUGAUUUGGAUAUAACUUCUCCUGAGGACAAGCCUGAAGUUAGUUUUGAUAAAGCAAUUAAAGAAGAAAUAAAGGACCAUUUUAGGCGUUUGAAGGAUGAUAUUGUGAAUCAUUGGAUAGGGCCUGAAGGCCGCCCUCUGCAUGAGGUCUUGAUGGAACAAGCCAAGGUUGUCUGGCAGUUCCGCGGCAAAGAAGAUUUGGAUAAGUGGAUAGUGACUUCUGAUAAGACGAUUGGUGGCAGAAGUGAAGUGUUCCUGAAAAUGGGCAGGAGUAACCAAAGUGCACUGCUGUAUGGAACUCUGAGCUCUGAGGCACCCCAGGAUGGGGAGAGUGGCCGAAGUGGAUACUGUGCAAUGAUAUCCAAGAUUCCAACGGGCCCUUUUGAGAGGAAGAGGUUUUAUGAUUGGUCCCAGUUCAACACUCUGUAUCUUCGUGUCCGUGGGGAUGGUCGACCUUGGAUGGUGAAUAUCAGGGAGGACACGGAUAUAAUCCAGAGGAAGGAUCAGAUGUACAGUUACUUCAUGUUCACCCGUGGGGGGCCCUACUGGCAGGAAGUCAAGAUUCCUUUCUCCAAAUUUUUCUUCUCUAAUCGAGGAAGAAUCCGGGAUGCCCAGUACCAGCUUCUGCUUGACAAGAUCUCUUCUAUUGGAUUCACCCUGGCUGAUAAAGUGGAUGGUCCAUUCUUCCUAGAAAUAGAUUUUAUUGGAGUAUUUACUGAUCCAGCCCACACAGAAGAAUUUGCCUAUGAAAAUUCUCCAGAGCUUAAUCCAAGACUUUUUAAAUAGAGAUCAUGUAGUAUUUCUGUGUUACUAAACUAAGGGUAGUAGAAUCCACGAUGACAAAAAUAAAGUACUUCUUUAAUGGCAUCCAAACAAUGGCGGUUCUGGAGGCUGGGAAGUCCAGGAUACCUGGUGUCUGGUGAGUGCUUCUUGGCUUGUAGACAGCUGCCUUCUUACUGUAUCCUCACAUGGAGAGAACAAGUUCUAGUCUCUUUCUCUUCAUAUAAAUAGCACUAACCCCAUCAUGAGGGUGCCACCUGCCUGACCUAAUUACCUCCCAAAGGCCUCCAAGUAUACCUCAAAGUACCAAGUCACAUUUGGAAUUAGGAUUUCAGUAUAUGAAUUGGGCAGGGGGCGGGGGCAGGGAACGGACACAAGCAUGCAGUCCAUAACACCUGCAUAGCUGGUUCUCCAAAGAUGCAUGAUCCUUACCAGUUCUUACUUUAUAGACUAAUGUCCCCAAGGCUUCCCCAGUCGUUUUUAGUAUUAGAGAUUGCAUAUACCAAAAAUAAGACCCUGAUUAACACAGUUUAAACUGAUCAAUUCUUGUCAUCUUAGAGGAAGAAGUAGGAAACUAUAUGAUAUAGCCAGAGUACCCAACGAGAGCCAAGUUUAAAAUAAGAGAAUACACAAAGGCUGAUAGCUUUCCCAUCCAUCUUGGCCUAAAUACCUAUUUUGUAUGUUUUCAUGUAAUUAUCUGUUUUUCAGCUUUAUUGAGGUAUAAUUUACAUAACAUAAAGUUCAUCUGUUUUAAGUAUACAAUUCAAUGAUUUUUUAGUUUAUUUACAGAAUUGUGCAGUCUUUUUUUUUUUUUGGCCGUGUCGCAUGGCUUGCUGGUUCUUAGUUCCCUGACCGGGGAUUGAACCCAGGACCACGGCAGUGAAAGCGCCAAAUGUUAACCACUGGACUGCCAGGGAAUGCCCAGAAUUCUGCAGUCUGUCUUUACAUGAACUAAUUGUAGGAAAUUUCCGUCAGCCUAGAAAGAAACCUCAGUGCCUCUUUGCAGUUACUCUUCAUCCCCACUCUCAGCCCCACAAUUACGAAUCUACUUUUGCUAUAGGUUUAUCUUCUCUGGAUAUUUCAUAUAAAUAGAAUCAUAUAUGAUCUUUUGUGUCUUGCUUUUCACUUAGCAUAAUGUUUUUGAGGUUCAUCCAUGGUGUAGCGUGUUUAUCAGUAUUUCAUUUUUUUAGUGCAUAUUUUUUAAAUCCAUCCAUUGAUGGGACAGCUGGAUUUUUCUCUACUUUUUGGCUACUGUGAAUAAUACUGCUGUAAAUAUUUGCAGACACAAGUUUUGGUGUGGACAUAUGUUUUCAUUUCUUAGGAGAAUUGCUGGGUCAUAUGGUGGACGUACAUUUAAAUUUUUUAAAGAAACUACUUCCAAAGUCGUUAUAUCGUUUCACCUUCCCAGUAGCAGUGUAUUUGACACAGAUUUCCUGAUUGAUCUGAUCUCUGCCUCUUGAUAGCAAAAUCUGAGUUUAUUAAGCACCCAGGAGUAUGCCAUGUUCUGUGGGCCCAUAUACGUAUAACAAUAAGUAUAACAGAAUCUGACAGGUGCUGUGAAAAUACAAAAGGACAUAGUCAUUUCUUCUAGGAGUGGGGAGUGGACGGUCAAGAAAGGAUACACAAAGAGUACAAGUCAACUCUUGUUAGUCUUGGCUGGUCAACUAAAUUUUAGAAACCAAUUAUAUUUACAAAGAAUGAAUCUACCCCCCAUGAGAAAAAAUUUUAUUUAUGAAAAUUUUAAGCAGUACAAAACUCGGAAGCUCCAUUCGGGUGCAACAGACAUGAAUAUGAUACUAAGCAACUCUAGUCUUUUCCAUAAAUUGAGUAAGAUGUAUAAGUUUGACAGAGCAUAUAGUAAUCCUUAAAGCAACAAUCCUCAAAUUUCAAUAUGACCCUGUAUAUUUCUAAAUAAGCCAGGCUAGAAUGAGCUAGAGUUUUGUUUUUAAGAAUAUAUUGGGGGAAAAAAAAAAAAAGAGAUGUAACUGACAAUUACAUGAAGUGAUCUGAAAGAGGUACAUAGAAGCUUAAAUGAAACAUUUCACAUAGAUAAAAUAUUGACGCCUUAUAAACCCAUAUGGCCCACAGUUUCGGUAAGACUACUAGGUUCUCUAGAGGAUGAAGAGGUGGCCUUUCACAGCUUACCCUAUUCAUAACUUGUUAUUGUUCAAUUUCUACUAAAGUCUGUAGUAUAAUUAGCUACCAUCAGGUAAGUGCUUUUGCCUAGAAGAGGACUGAAGUUCUGUUAUUAGAGCCAGCAGAGGGAACUUGACCUUAAAAAUCUAGGUCAAGAAUCUACAGGAUGGGUCUUUUUAGAAACCUGAGUUAGUUGUACAGGGGCUUAGGUAAAAACUAUUUCAAAAGAAUUUGAGAGCUUUAAAGGUAGUAAUGUCUUUUCAGGGGUAAAACGUGAAGAAGCCACAGACACUACAUAUAUACGAACAAAGUUAAGAGCAGAAAAAGGUCUUUUGGCUAAAGUGAGAGGACAGUACAGAAAUAUUUACAAAAGAGGGUUCAGAGAAAAGGAAUAUUUACGAGAUAUUAAAUUAUGAAUGUUCAGCCAUAAUGAGGCCCCUUCGAACUCCCAGAACCUUUGCUUUCUUCUCCUUUCGUUCUUGCUCAUGUUUCUUCCGUUGCUCCUCCCUAAGGAGGGAUAGGUAUACGUUAGGCUCUAGUGAAGCUCCAAACAGACCACUUCAAAGCACCUAUUGUUAGACUAAUGUCCAAACUUAAAAUGACAUCCAGCACACUUGUGUAAAGCACACUCUUACAGGACAUUGUGCUCUGUCCAGUGGUCUCUGUGAUGGAAGCCACACCUGUAAGUCACUGUUGUGUUAAAAGGCUAGAACUUGGGGGGGGGGGUUGUUGUUUUUAAUGUUAAGGCAGCAUUCUAAAAUCAAGCAUGGAAUUGGAAGCAGAAGACACCUUGGAGAUCGAAUCCAACCCCUGUAGUUUUUUUUAGUUUGUUUUAAAUGAGAAACCUCUACCUGUGGAAGUCAAAGGUCGACCUCAAAAUCACACUGUCUAAUAAAAGUGCUAAAAUUGGAAUCAGGAUCUCUGACUUAAACCACUAUGAUUUUGGGGAGAAGGAAUUAAGAGGAAAAAAAGGCCCAGAAUCAUGAUAAUGAUUUUAAUAGCAAAUAGUAAGGUCUUGGUGGUAGCUGGCAAGUCAAAUGGUAGUUAACCCGGUAUCAGGAGGGUGUCACACAGGGAAUCGGCCAAACCAGGACCAGCUGCAGCCCAGGUCAGACUCUGGUGUUAACUUGGUUUCCACACAGAAAGAAGCCUCUAAGGAUCAUCCUGGGGUUUCCCCCUGUGUAGAGCCCUGAAGCCUAGAAAGCCUGGUUUCCCUGGGAGUGUGAAAUUUAUGUGCAUCCUUAGGUGCCCUGGGCACCUGGAUUGGUAUCUGGAGGGACAUCCAGGUGCAUUGUUUGGGCAGAUAGGUCAUGUAAGAGCAGUGCUGUGAACCAGGUCCUCUUCUGAAUCACCUGCAGAGCUUUGGAAACAAUGCAGAUACAUCGGUCCCAUCUCAAACCUACUGAAUUAGAACCCACUGUGGUAUUGCCUAGGCACAUGUACUUUUAUUAAGUUCUGUAUAUGAUUCCACUUCUACCCUCUUCUUAAACACCACUAUUACUGUGACUCUAUCCCUCAGAGACUCUGCUUUUAUAUACAGUCUUUCAAAAUUAAAAGAGUUAGAACUGGAUAAUUAUGUACUUACCUGGUCUGGCGAUGAGGCUGUUUAUAACUUUUCUUGUGUAAGCUUACUCUGUUGACAUGUUCAUUCAGAGAACUGUUUUCUUUAGAUUGUCCCCAUGGUUUCAGUUUUCCUAGUUUAGGACAGAGACAGAGACAGAUUUAAGAAGAUUCUUGGGACUUCCCUGGUGGCGCAGUGGUUAAGAAUCCGCCUGCCAAUGCAGGGAACAUGGGUCGAGCCCUGGCCUGGGAAGAUCCCACAUGCCGCGGAGCAACUAAGCCUGUGUGCCACAACUACUGAGCCUGCGCUCUAGAGCCCGCGAGCCACAACUACUGAGCCCGUGUUCCACAACUACUGAAGCCUGCACUCCUAGAGCCCAUUCUCCGCAACAAGAGAAGCCACCGCAACGAGAAGCCAAUGCAUCGCAACAAAGAGUAGCCCCCGCUCACCGCAACUAGAGAAAGCCCGUGCGCAGCAGUGAAGACCCAAUAUAGCCAUAAAUAAAUAAAUGAAAAGAUUCCUGUAUUUAUAUUCCUAAUUUUCUCUUCAUCUGUGGCUACCUGCUUGCUGUCAACAUUCAUACUUUGGUUUUUUUGUUGUUUUUCUUUUUGCAGUAUGCGGGCCUCUCACUGUUGUGGCCUCUCCUGUUGCGGAGCACAGGCUCCGGACGCGCAGGCUCAGUGGCUGUGGCUCACGGGCCCAGCCGCUCCGUGGCACGUGGGAUCUUCCCAGACUGGGGCACGAACCCGUGUCCCCUGCAUCGGCAGGCAGACUCUCAACCACUGCGCCACCAGGGAAGCCCCAUACUUUGUUUUUAAAGAAAUCUGCCAGUAUAAUUCUAUUAAUUUCAAUUUAAUAUUCCACAGAUAGACAUUACGUUUUUUUCCUCUAAAAAUAAGUGUCUUCUACUUUUUAAUCCUUGAAAAGCCAGAAAAAAAUCUUAAAAAAACAAAAAAAACUUUAAUACUGAAUCCCAUGACACAGCACAUUAAAAGAAGCCAUAACAACUAAGUAGUUUAUCCCAACGUUGCAUAGGAAUGUUUAAUAUUAAAGUAGUAUUUCAUCUGUGCAGUUUAUCAUUAUUGUUACCUAUUAAAAUGUAUUUGGAAUGCAACAAGUGGGAAUAUUUUGUUGGCUUUAGAACUGUGACCAAAUUUCCAGAUGUUUAUAUAUUACUUUAUUUGUAUAGUUUGACCUACUUCUGAGUACCAAAGAUUACCAUUUGCAGUGUUUACCAUUUUAUAGAAAGGACUUUCACACCUGCUAUAUCAUUUGAUCCUUUCAGUAACCACUGAAGUAGUACUUAUUUAUUUUCCCUUCCAUAAAGGAAUUAAGUGACUUGUCUAGGAUAUAAAAUAACAAGCACAGAUGAAGCUCUCAACCAGGUUUUUUUUACCAUCAGUAGAAGUUAGUGGUGAUCAGUCAUUCCCAUAACAAAUACUUUUUGAGUACCUGGUAUGUGCCAGGGACUAUUCUAGGUGCUAGGGACAUAGCAGUGAACCAAGUGGUCAAAAAUCCUUGCUCUCAAAAAAAAAACAAAACAAACCUUGCUCUCUUGGGAUUACAUUUCCAGUGGUAGAGGUAGACAGUAGUCAAGAUAACACCAGGUGGUGCUAUGUGCUAUGGAGAAAUGUAAAACAAGGUGAGGAAUAAA
This is an RNA transcript of Globicephala melas (long-finned pilot whale), 6626 nucleotides long. It is a transcript of the gene named NADH:ubiquinone oxidoreductase complex assembly factor 1, with no coding region annotated. The record is from RefSeq and is a predicted model, not a curated record. Lineage: Eukaryota; Metazoa; Chordata; Mammalia; Artiodactyla; Delphinidae.